GAUGAACGCUGGCGGCAGGCUUAAUACAUGCAAGUCGAACGGUAACAUGUCGGAGCAAUCUGAUGAUGACGAGUGGCGCACGGGUGCGUAACGCGUAUGCAACCUACCCAUAACCGGAACAUAACGUUGAGAAAUCGGCGCUAAUAUUCCAUGUGUAUAUUUUGUGGCAUCAUAGAAUAUAUAAAGAUUAAUUGGUUAUGGAUGGGCAUGCGUAUCAUUAGCUAGUUGGUGGGGUAACGGCCUACCAAGGCUGCGAUGAUUAGGGGUUCUGAGAGGAUAACCCCCCACACUGGAACUGAGACACGGUCCAGACUCCUACGGGAGGCAGCAGUAGGGAAUAUUGGGCAAUGGAGGCAACUCUGACCCAGCCAUGCCGCGUGAAGGAAGACGGUCCUAUGGAUUGUAAACUUCUUUUAUCAUAGAGUAACCGCAGGGACGUGUCCCUGCCUGCAAGUAUAUGAUGAAUAAGC
RNAcentral lists this ribosomal RNA (470 nucleotides) under uncultured bacterium. Its description in RNAcentral is "bacterial SSU rRNA". It matches the Rfam family "Bacterial small subunit ribosomal RNA", at positions 28 to 491 of the family's 1533-position model. The record is from RNAcentral.